This 519-nucleotide ribosomal RNA is filed under the name Triticum aestivum (bread wheat). RNAcentral describes it as "partial small subunit ribosomal RNA". The record is from RNAcentral. Lineage: Eukaryota; Viridiplantae; Streptophyta; Magnoliopsida; Poales; Poaceae.
AUGAGUGAUCAGACUCCACCUCAUGGUCCAAAUUCAUUAAGAACACCAGAUACCGCCGUUUCUAACAAGGAAAAUGUCAAUAAUAUCGACUCUGCCAUUGGGUCCUCCCAACUGACUAUGUUACCACCGCCACUUCAAUCCUACAGAGGCAGCAGUUCAUAUGAAGCAAAACAAGCACUUAAGGGGCGGAAGGGAAAUGCCCGCUAUGAGCAACAUAAGCAAGUCAUAUUGCAAAGCCUACGUGACAAACAGCGUCGAACCAAAUCGUCAACAGUAGUCCUUGCUACUGCAGAACAAAAUCAAUCCGAUAUAGCUGAUGAAGAUUGUGAUUGGCUACACACAAAUGAUAUGUACCAGAGACAAGACUUUGGAAGGAGGAUGCUGCCAGACAACAUACUCACUGCGCCGUCAUGUGGGCACAAUCCCGUCGACAAAUAUAAUGGAAAUGACCACGAAGAUGAUGCAUAUGGAAUACUGGAGCCCGAUGGCAACACAAACAACAUUGAUGGUUCACAUUAA